GUGUCAGCCGCCGCGGUAACACGUAUGGGGCGAGCGUUGUUCGGAAUUAUUGGGCGUAAAGGGCAUGCAGGCGGUUAUACAAGUCUGGUGUGCAAGACCAAGGCUCAACUUUGGGAACGCACUGGAAACUGUAUGACUAGAAUACAGGAGGGGGAGCUGGAAUUCCAAGUGUAGGGGUGUAAUCUGUAGAUAUUUGGAAGAACAUCUGUGGCGAAGGCGAGCUCCUGGCCAUGUAUUGACGCUGAGAUGCGAAAGUGUGGGGAGCGAACAGGAUUAGAUACCCUCGUAGUCC
This 292-nucleotide ribosomal RNA is filed under the name uncultured bacterium. RNAcentral's name for it is "partial 16S ribosomal RNA". It matches the Rfam family "Bacterial small subunit ribosomal RNA", at positions 505 to 796 of the family's 1533-position model. The record is from RNAcentral.